RNAcentral lists this ribosomal RNA (393 nucleotides) under uncultured Acidovorax sp. Its description in RNAcentral is "bacterial SSU rRNA". It matches the Rfam family "Bacterial small subunit ribosomal RNA", at positions 509 to 903 of the family's 1533-position model. The record is from RNAcentral. Lineage: Bacteria; Pseudomonadati; Pseudomonadota; Betaproteobacteria; Burkholderiales; Comamonadaceae.
CAGCCCCGCGGUAAUACGUAGGGUGCAAGCGUUAAUCGGAAUUACUGGGCGUAAAGCGUGCGCAGGCGGUUAUAUAAGACAGAUGUGAAAUCCCCGGGCUCAACCUGGGAACUGCAUUUGUGACUGCAUAGCUAGAGUACGGCAGAGGGGGAUGGAAUUCCGCGUGUAGCAGUGAAAUGCGUAGAUAUGCGGAGGAACACCGAUGGCGAAGGCAAUCCCCUGGGCCUGUACUGACGCUCAUGCACGAAAGCGUGGGGAGCAAACAGGAUUAGAUACCCUGGUAGUCCACGCCCUAAACGAUGUCAACUGGUUGUUGGGUCUUCACUGACUCAGUAACGAAGCUAACGCGUGAAGUUGACCGCCUGGGGAGUACGGCCGCAAGGUUGAAACUCA